CGGGUGAGUAACGCGUGAGCAACCUGCCUAUGACAGUGGGAUAGCCUCGGGAAACCGGGAUUAAUACCGCAUAAAAUCGUAGAAACACAUGUUUUAACGGUCAAAGAUUUAUCGGUCAUAGAUGGGCUCGCGUCUGAUUAGCUAGUUGGUGAGAUAACAGCCCACCAAGGCGACGAUCAGUAGCCGGUCUGAGAGGAUGAACGGCCACAUUGUAACUGAGACACAGUCCAA
RNAcentral lists this ribosomal RNA (231 nucleotides) under uncultured Eubacteriales bacterium. RNAcentral's name for it is "uncultured Clostridiales bacterium partial 16S ribosomal RNA". It matches the Rfam family "Bacterial small subunit ribosomal RNA", at positions 103 to 334 of the family's 1533-position model. The record is from RNAcentral. Lineage: Bacteria; Bacillati; Bacillota; Clostridia; Eubacteriales.